UCUCCCUCCCUACACGAUCGGGCUUCCCCCCUCUCAAGUGCAAUUGGGAGGUCUGUACGACCCCUUUUGAGCACGGUGUCGGGACGCACCCGUGAGGGCACGCCUCGCCGACGGUGUGCUGUGUAAUGAUCCUUCCGCAGGUUCACCUACGGAAACCUUGUUACGACUUUUACUUCCUCUAAAUGACCAAGA
RNAcentral lists this unclassified non-coding RNA (192 nucleotides) under uncultured fungus. RNAcentral's name for it is "sequence contains 18S rRNA gene, ITS1, 5.8S rRNA gene, ITS2". The record is from RNAcentral. Lineage: Eukaryota; Fungi.